RNAcentral lists this ribosomal RNA (497 nucleotides) under uncultured bacterium. RNAcentral describes it as "partial 16S ribosomal RNA". It matches the Rfam family "Bacterial small subunit ribosomal RNA", at positions 28 to 507 of the family's 1533-position model. The record is from RNAcentral.
GAUGAACGCUGGCGGCGUGCCUAAUACAUGCAAGUCGAGCGAACAGACGAGGAGCUUGCUCCUCUGACGUUAGCGGCGGACGGGUGAGUAACACGUGGAUAACCUACCUAUAAGACUGGGAUAACUUCGGGAAACCGGAGCUAAUACCGGAUAAUAUAUUGAACCGCAUGGUUCAAUAGUGAAAGACGGUUUUGCUGUCACUUAUCGAUGGAUCCGCGCCGCAUUAGCUAGUUGGUAAGGUAACGGCUUACCAAGGCAACGAUGCGUAGCCGACCUGAGAGGGUGAUCGGCCACACUGGAACUGAGACACGGUCCAGACUCCUACGGGAGGCAGCAGUAGGGAAUCUUCCGCAAUGGGCGAAAGCCUGACGGAGCAACGCCGCGUGAGUGAUGAAGGUCUUCGGAUCGUAAAACUCUGUUAUUAGGGAAGAACAGAUGUGUAAGUAACUAUGUACGUCUUGACGGUACCUAAUCAGAAAGCCACGGCUAACUACGUG